This 253-nucleotide ribosomal RNA is filed under the name uncultured bacterium. RNAcentral's name for it is "partial 16S ribosomal RNA". It matches the Rfam family "Bacterial small subunit ribosomal RNA", at positions 524 to 776 of the family's 1533-position model. The record is from RNAcentral.
UACGUAGGCAGCAAGCGUUGUUCGGAGUUACUGGGCGUAAAGAGUGCGUAGGCGGUCCUGUAAGUUUGGUGUGAAAUCUCCCGGCUCAACUGGGAGGGUGCGCCGAAGACUGCAGGGCUUGAGUAUGGGAGAGGUAAGCGGAAUUCCUGGUGUAGCGGUGAAAUGCGCAGAUAUCAGGAGGAACACCAACAGCGAAGGCAGCACUCUGGGCCGGUACUGACGCUGAGGAGCGAAAGCAUGGGGAGCGAACAGG